GGGUUCGAUACCGAAGAAGCGGCAUUGCUUCCCGCGAAAUGGACGAAAUAACCAGUUCCCCCGCCGUUCCGUCCGGCACGGGUUCC
Molecule: transfer RNA, 86 nt
Filed under: Planctomycetales bacterium
Lineage: Bacteria; Pseudomonadati; Planctomycetota; Planctomycetia; Planctomycetales
Description: tRNA-Gly
Source: RNAcentral